UCGAACGAGAAUUCAGAGCUUGCUCUGGAGGAAAGUGGCGCACGGGUGAGUAACGCGUAGGCAACCUACCCCUAGAAUUGGAAUAACUCCGGGAAACCGAAGCUAAUACCGAAUAACAUUAUUUGACCGCAUGGUCGAAUAAUCAAAACUCCGGUGUCUAGGGAUGGGCCUGCGUAGGAUUAGGUAGUUGGUGGGGUAACGGCCCACCAAGCCGACGAUCCUUAGCUGGUCUGAGAGGAUGAUCAGCCACACUGGCACUGAGACACGGGCCAGACUCC
RNAcentral lists this ribosomal RNA (278 nucleotides) under unidentified marine bacterioplankton. RNAcentral's name for it is "partial 16S ribosomal RNA". It matches the Rfam family "Bacterial small subunit ribosomal RNA", at positions 62 to 339 of the family's 1533-position model. The record is from RNAcentral. RNAcentral also lists the same sequence under 1 other name.